RNAcentral lists this signal recognition particle RNA (98 nucleotides) under Candidatus Cloacimonadota bacterium. Its description in RNAcentral is "signal recognition particle sRNA small type". It matches the Rfam family "Bacterial small signal recognition particle RNA". Rfam says of the family: The signal recognition particle (SRP) is a universally conserved ribonucleoprotein involved in the co-translational targeting of proteins to membranes. Archaeal SRP consists of a 7S RNA and homologues of the eukaryotic SRP19 and SRP54 proteins. Lineage: Bacteria; Pseudomonadati; Candidatus Cloacimonadota. RNAcentral also lists the same sequence under 1 other name. The record is from RNAcentral.
AAGCCGGGUGUCGCCAAUGUUUGAAUGUGAACCAUGUCAGGUCGGGAACGAAGCAGCAUUAAGCAAGCUCAGACAUGUGUGCUGCCGCCCGGUUUUUU